GACGUAGGGUGCGAGCGUUUGUCCGGAUUUAUUGGGCGUAAAGAGCUCGUAGGCGGUUUGUCGCGUCUGCUGUGAAAACUGGAGGCUCAACCUCCAGCCUGCAGUGGGUACGGGCAGACUAGAGUGCGGUAGGGGAGAUUGGAAUUCCUGGUGUAGCGGUGGAAUGCGCAGAUAUCAGGAGGAACACCGAUGGCGAAGGCAGAUCUCUGGGCCGUAACCUUGACGCUGAGGAGCGAAAGCAUGGGGAGCGAACAGG
This 256-nucleotide ribosomal RNA is filed under the name uncultured bacterium. RNAcentral's name for it is "partial 16S ribosomal RNA". It matches the Rfam family "Bacterial small subunit ribosomal RNA", at positions 524 to 776 of the family's 1533-position model. The record is from RNAcentral.